RNAcentral lists this ribosomal RNA (253 nucleotides) under uncultured bacterium. RNAcentral's name for it is "partial 16S ribosomal RNA". It matches the Rfam family "Bacterial small subunit ribosomal RNA", at positions 524 to 776 of the family's 1533-position model. The record is from RNAcentral.
UACGAAGGGGGCUAGCGUUGCUCGGAAUCACUGGGCGUAAAGGGUGCGUAGGCGGGUCUUUAAGUCAGGGGUGAAAUCCUGGAGCUCAACUCCAGAACUGCCUUUGAUACUGAGGAUCUUGAGUUCGGGAGAGGUGAGUGGAAUUCCCAGUGUAGAGGUGAAAUUCGUAGAUAUUCGCAAGAACACCAGUGGCGAAGGCGGCUCACUGGCCCGGUACUGACGCUGAGGUGCGAAAGCGUGGGGAGCAAACAGG